Molecule: ribosomal RNA, 253 nt
Filed under: uncultured bacterium
Lineage: Bacteria
Description: partial 16S ribosomal RNA
Rfam family: Bacterial small subunit ribosomal RNA
Source: RNAcentral
UACAGAGGGUGCAAGCGUUGUUCGGAAUUAUUGGGCGUAAAGCGCGUGUAGGCGGCAAGGCAUGUCGGGUGUGAAAGCCCUCGGCUUAACCGAGGAAGUGCGCCCGAAACUACUUUGCUUGAGUACCAGAGAGGGCGGCGGAACUCCCGGUGUAGAGGUGAAAUUCGUAGAUAUCGGGAAGAACACCAGUGGCGAAGGCGGCCGCCUGGAUGGAUACUGACGCUGAGACGCGAAAGCGUGGGGAGCAAACAGG